GUGAGGGGCCAAUUGUCAAGGUUCUAUCUGCGCGAUGAUUGAUGGGAGCCUGGGUUUUUCUGUCAGCCUGUCACGGCGCAGGAAUGUUUAAUGUUCUCAUUAUUGGUUACGCUGUUGUGUAUAUUUCUCUGUCAGCACCGCGGACCCAGCUGAACUGGCAGAGCACUUCAAAGGCCUGCGGGUCAUUCAUCAUCCCCAUGACGCUCCGGCAAAUGCUCAGCUUCAGCUCCGCGCCAGGGAUUUGUUAUGACUUGCGAGCCGGCUGACAGACAGGGCUGUGGCGGCCGUGGGAGGGGACGCAGAGGGGAGGCAGCCGCGCAGCCCUUUUUGUCACUCUGGGUCCAUGGCAGCGCCCAGCGCCCGGGCUCUGCGGCUCCCGGGGGCCAUAGGUGCAGACCCGCACAACGCCCCCUCCCCUGGCGGUCACCGGAAGGGGGCCGAGGAGCACCCCGACUAGGGGCCCAGGUCCCGCCCCGCUCGCCUCCUGCUCUCCGGUCAAGUCCAGCCGGCGGCGCCCUCUCCCUUCAGUCCCACCCUUCUCUCCGCUGUCGGCCGUGACAUGAUUAAUCGUUUUCUUCUGAUCUAAUUUUGGAACAUGAAAAACAGCACAUUUGUCUUGAAGAAAAAUGAUGUGCCGAACUGCGCAGAUGGAAAUUUCGAGCAAUGAGAAAGAUUAAAGUGAAACCCCACUCCUUAGACCUAAUCAUGAGUUGUAGAUUAUUCUGUCGGCCCAGCCAGAUGGUAGCUCUGAUUCCACAGCCC
Molecule: long non-coding RNA, 762 nt
Organism: Bos mutus (wild yak)
Lineage: Eukaryota; Metazoa; Chordata; Mammalia; Artiodactyla; Bovidae
Source: Ensembl